AAAAAUUGAAAAGAGCAUCCAAACUCUUGCAUUGUAAAUCAAAAGCCACUUUGUAAAACUUUGAUAAAAGUAUUUUCUUCCUCCUUCAACUAUCUUGUUCAAUUAAAUUACUCAUAUCAUUUCUAUCCCACAUAAAAUCUACUUAAACACUUCUAUCUAAACCCAUUUAUUUUUUUCUGCUCAAAAUAAAAAACCUUUAGGAAUGUGACGGUGUAAAAGGAAGGAUUCUUAUAAUGCACAAGAUAGACAUGAAGAUUCAACCAAAUCAGCUGUAAUUAGCUUCUUACAUAACCUUUUUUUUUUUUUUUUUUCCAGAAUCUUGUACAAUUUCCUGAUGUAUAUACUUUUCAUGUUUUAUUGCGUCAUAUACAAGGUCUUUGACUUGAAAACUUACAUAAUGUUCUUUGACUUGAAAACUUACAUAAAGUUAGCCUCCAUUUCAAGUAACAUUUUCAAGAGAGUGCACAUCAUGAAUAAAUUCAAAUGGUUGUUAUGAUGUACCUAUUUCUUUUCUGAUGUAAGUAAGCUGGAAAGAUGGUUGUAUUUCUUCAGCUUCAAAAUUAAAUAGUCCUCAUUCUGCUUCCCAACGUUAUCUAAAUAAUCCUUUUUAUCAUAUUCUUUAACUAAAAGAUUAUUUAUUUCUUUACUUUUUCUCAAACUCAUUUUCUGCACACGUUCUUCAAUAAAUUACUUCUCAACAAAAAGGUAUUUUCUUCUCUGUGGAAAGAAGACUUCUUUCCACAAGCUCAAUGUGUCUUGUAUACACAUCCACAAAUUUGUGGACCCAUAACUUAUUACUUACUUUUUACUCAGCAUUCUUUGGAACCUGCAUCUGAAAUUCUAACUUAAACACUCCGAAACGAGGUUUUAUGUGUUCAUAAAAAAAUUAGUCUUCAAAACACCGUCUUUGAUGCAGAUCAGAUUCCUUUUUUUUUUAAUGAAUGGAUGGUAUGUUCAUAAUUUUCAUAAAAAGAGUGGCGACGAGACAUGUACCUAGAUUUUUGUUGGCUCCAAUACCGUGCCGUACUACAUCAUCUAAAAGCUUAAGCUAGUGAAUGGGGACAAAUUUAUUCAUUUCAAUUUAAUAUUAAUGGUCUUUAGUGUAUUUAUUCUUUUGAGAGCAUAUGAUGCAGAUUCCAGAAAGUGUGGUUGAGCUACGCUAAAAUUAACUAUGUGCUGCUUAUUGUUGGGGCACAUCCAACGAUUUACCUCCCUCACAAAGUUCUGGGAACGGAACGGUGGGGACCCUCAAGGUUGGAGUUCAACCUUUUUUUUUUUUAACUAUGUGCUGCUUAUUUUCCAACGUGUUGAGCAGUCAAGAAAAUCCUUGCUGCAAUGCAAACAGGGUCUAUAAAUAAGAAAAUCCAUACAAGGCCUCGUUCAAAUUUGAAAAAGUUCGGUGUUUCAUACCGUGGAAAGGGAACGUUGACCAAUUUGAUUGGGGAUGCAUACUUCAAAUGGAAUCUAAUUUCUCGAAUUGGAAUCGAAUUUAUCACUUUUAUAAUUAUUUAUUUAUUUAUUAUUAUUAUUAUUAUUAUUAUUAUUAUUAUUAUUUUUUUUUUUUUUUUUUUUACAAUUUAUUCACCCUGAUUCUACUAUAUAUUUUUCCUGUGAUUGAGAUUUCAACUAGGAAUUUUGAUGUAUAUUCGAAACGGUCUCAUUCUCAAUUGAAAGAAUCUAUUGAGGAACAUGGCCCUUAGCCUUGGUAAUAUCAAUAACAUUAAUUGUAUUAUAAAGGAUGGGUAAGACAGCAUAAAUCAAUAGAUUCUUUCAAUUGAGGAUGAGACUAUUCCGAAAUUUUUUAACCAUCUCCUUCAUCAGAUCAAGGUGGAUUUCAUUGAACAGUUCAAUGAGAAGCUUGUUGUCAAACAAAGGAACAAGAACACCAAAUUUUUUAUGUAAGUUGUUUUUUUUCUUAUAUUUGUAUAUUACUUUGUAGCAUGUUUAGCAUGAAGAUUAGUUAGCAAUGAACUGUAUGAAGAAAGAAAGUGGAGUUAACAAACUUAUUCGGUUAUUUCCCAUUUUGCGCACCAAACAUGCGCUUGAUAUUUACAUCCUAUAAAAUCUAUACAAGUCCGCAACUUGGAGUUAAAGUUAGUAGAAGUGAAUUCCUGUUAAAAUAUUUUGUACAUGUACAUAAGGCAUUCCUUUUUCAUUUGCUAUUUUCAUCCGUCCUCCCACAUUUUUCAACACUAAAAUCAUAAGACUUAAUCAAUUCCAGCACGAGUAAAAAAAAUAUUACACACGGCAUCAUCUUCAUCAACUUUUCCCCUACGAUAAUAUUCAGGUUUCACUUCUUUUUGUGCUCAUAUUUUUGUUUAGGUUUAGCAAUUAGAUAAGCUUAGCUGCUUUUAUUUCUUUCUCGUCCAUUUUUUUAGUCUAAGUAUAAAUAUGUUUCCGUGUAUGCUAUGGGGUUGUGAGACAUGAAUAUUGAAUCAAUUGGAAACAUGCACCAAACAUCUUCACAUCUUGUAAAAUCCAAUAUCUUUUCCUUAUACAAUUUCACAAUUCUUCUGUGUCUUUUGAAUCUCUACAAAAACCGCUCUAUAUAUUUCUCUCCUUGGUUCAGCCAAGUUGAAUGGUGAAUUUUUAUUUAUUUAUUUAUUUAUUUUGAAUUUGGCCUGAAAAUUUUAUUCGAGAGUGCACAGAUGUAUGAGACUAUGGAUGUUGGUUAAGUGUGUAUUUAUAUGAGAAAUAGUGAGAGAGAUUGAGAAAUAGUAGUGAUAUGCACCAAACAUGCACUAAACUUGCACUUAUGUUCACAUCAUGUGGAAUCUAUUACCUUUUUUGUACACAGGUACACAAUUCCAAGUAAAUAGAAGUUAUUACAAAUGAGAAUUACCGUCAAAUGUAACACUCCAAAUUUUCAUAAAUUUUGGAGUGCUACCAAAAAAUGCACUUUUCUUUGUGUUAAAGGCAGAACGAUAAAAUAAAAUUCUUUAUAAAAAAAACUGGAACAUUCAUAAAUCUAAAUGAAAUCAUUGAAAUCGUAUCUUUGAAAAAAUAAAAAAAUAAAAAAAAUAAACAUGUAAGUAAUUAAAUAACAUGUUUUUGAACAAAUUAAACUAACUAACAAAUUGAAAGAUAGAAAACUUAAUGCUUUUAUUUAUUAUUAUUUUUUUUGAAUUCUCUUUGCACUCCGUAUCACUAUCCCCCCACCAUUUCAACUGACCUUUAAUUUUAUUUUUUGUAAGAGGGAGUAUUUAAAAAUAUCCAGUAAGAUACGUGCAAUUUCUGUGGACAAUUAUAUAACAAUAAAAUUCACAUUUCAUGCCACAUUUCUCUUAUGGAGUAUAUCGGUAACCAAACAACAUACUUAUCAUUAGUCAUUUAAAUUCCCAGAGGAUUUCACAUUUCGUUAUGAAGAACCCAAUAGAUUUCACAUUUUCGUUAGGUCGAACCCGAAGGUCCAUCGAUAAUUCAAGCAUAAAUUAUUGAAUUUAAAAGUAUACUGAAAUAAACUACUUACACAAAAGUAUCUUACUUUGAUUUUGAAAGGUUGGAAAGAAUAAGAUCUUGCACGUAAAAAUUCUCUUCUUAUUUUUCUAUACCUUUUCCUCUCCUUUCUCUCUAUCAUGGCUCUCUUUAUUUUCCGUGAUGAAAAAAUGUGAAUUCUUGCAGUAUUUAUAGUUGAAAUUCUCAAUUGAGUUUGCAUGCAACUAGAAUUGAAAAAUCAUGUAAUACAAGGAAUUUAAAUAAGAAUUGAUUUCAAAUGGUAGAGUUAGUAGUAUACUCUACUAUUGAUUUUCCUGGUACAAUCAUCCCAUUAAAAGUAGGACACUUGGCCAACUAGUGCUUGGUUUCAAAAAGUGAUUUGAAUUGUACUAUACUAUUGGUUUCAUAUAAAUCACGUGCGAUAGGAAUUACAAGAUGAAAAGAAUUUUACAUAAUUAAUAUUGCAAGCCCCACCAACUUGAUUAACUUGUUAUUCUUUUAAUAUGACUUAUGUUGAUGUAGUCUAAUCCAAAAUAACUUUUUUUUCUCGUGUUGAAGACUUCUAACUAAUUACGAGCUACAAAAAGUAUUCAAUAUCGAUAUCCUUAUUUCCCUCUAUCAAAAUCUAAUUAUUUGCCCAAAAUAAAAUUAGAAUUAAACUAUUUCGAUUUAGUUCCUCUACUUUAAAAAUAUAAAUAUAUAGCAUAUGGAAUAAAAAAAUUUAUUCUAUAAAAUUUUCGGAGCAUUACAAACUUUCCUCCUUAAAAGAAUUUCGUUCUCAAAAUUACCUCAGUUGGUUAACAUGUUUUGGAUACUUAACUUUGACAUACUUAUAAUAGUACAUAACAUGAAGCAAGAAAACUCUUAAUCAUGCUAAAAUAAUGACAUUUCAUUUCAUACCUUAGAUCCAUCGGAGAGUGGUUGAACAGUGAGUGACGCGUGCCAAGAAUUUUUAUUUUUUACUUAAAACUUUAAAAAGUUUACAUUGCCCUUAAAUUCCUGAUGUCUAUGAAAAUACUUUAUUUUUCAUUUCUAUUAAAAUUUUCUAAAAUAGGAUUUUCUCAAAAUAAAAGUUUUCAAAAAGAUAAUUUUUUAAAAUUUGGAAUGAUUUAAAAUAUUUUUUUUUUUGUCUUGUUGAUUUAAAUACUGUGCAACCAAGUCUUCCAGAUGAGGGGGGAUCACAAGUGGAUCUCUUAAAUCACGAGCUCUUCUUAAACAGUUUAGGCAACCUUUCAAUUUUACUAAUACGCAAAUCAAGAAAAUUCGAACAAUAAGUAGGAACUAGAGAUCUCUUAAAACAUAUAUUUCUAAUUGACAAAUUCCUAUCAAAACUCAUUUUGUUAGGAAAAAAAAAAGUCUACACAAGGUGGAACCUGGGCUCUGAUACCCACAGGGACAUCAAGAUUGAAUCAAUUAGCAAAUGGUGCGUUUUAGAAGGAUCAAGACUAGCGGGAUAUGAUGAGGAUUCUUACGAUGCCUGAAAAAUUGAUAAAGUGGAGAAGCUUUCUCCCAAUGGUGAUUUUGAAGACAAUUUAGCUGCCUAUCAUCAUUAUGUCUCUCAAAUCACGCUCGAUGAGAACCAAAGUCAAGAUUUGAUGUAAUAUCAAACAAGAGGUCUGGAGAGAUUUCUGUGAAUGCAGUAGGUAAAAAUGAUGCAGAUGCUGAUGAUGAGGAAAUUGAAAUAAUUCCGAGGAUGGUGAAGUUGUUUCCAUUUGUGUGUCUGCUGCAGAUGAAGGUUAAUCAAAGCAUGAAGAAGAAGACGGAGAGCUUGAUGUUAAAGCCGAAAGUGAAGGCAAGUCUGAGAAGGCAAGCAUGAAGAAGAAGACGGAGAGCUUGAUGCGCACUGAUGCCACAGUUUGAUAUUUUUUAUGCACACAUAUACACAUGGCAUCUCUGUUGAGAGGCAGUGAUGGAAAUGAUAGAAAUCCACCAACUAGAGGUAGAAGAGGUUAUACUUUGUUUUCACAAGCUAUUCCUAUAUUUUCAACGUUUUAAAAUCCUAAAUUCAUACCGAU
RNAcentral lists this long non-coding RNA (5450 nucleotides) under Olea europaea subsp. europaea. Lineage: Eukaryota; Viridiplantae; Streptophyta; Magnoliopsida; Lamiales; Oleaceae. The record is from RNAcentral.